RNAcentral lists this ribosomal RNA (887 nucleotides) under Alternaria alternata. RNAcentral's name for it is "partial large subunit ribosomal RNA". It matches the Rfam family "Eukaryotic large subunit ribosomal RNA", at positions 34 to 940 of the family's 3401-position model. Lineage: Eukaryota; Fungi; Ascomycota; Dothideomycetes; Pleosporales; Pleosporaceae. The record is from RNAcentral.
CUAGCAUAUCAAUAAGCGGAGGAAAAGAAACCAACAGGGAUUGCCCUAGUAACGGCGAGUGAAGCGGCAACAGCUCAAAUUUGAAAUCUGGCUCUUUUAGAGUCCGAGUUGUAAUUUGCAGAGGGCGCUUUGGCUUUGGCAGCGGUCCAAGUUCCUUGGAACAGGACGUCACAGAGGGUGAGAAUCCCGUACGUGGUCGCUGGCUAUUGCCGUGUAAAGCCCCUUCGACGAGUCGAGUUGUUUGGGAAUGCAGCUCUAAAUGGGAGGUACAUUUCUUCUAAAGCUAAAUAUUGGCCAGAGACCGAUAGCGCACAAGUAGAGUGAUCGAAAGAUGAAAAGCACUUUGGAAAGAGAGUCAAACAGCACGUGAAAUUGUUGAAAGGGAAGCGCUUGCAGCCAGACUUGCUUACAGUUGCUCAUCCGGGUUUCUACCCGGUGCACUCUUCUGUAGGCAGGCCAGCAUCAGUUUGGGCGGUAGGAUAAAGGUCUCUGUCACGUACCUCCUUUCGGGGAGGCCUUAUAGGGGAGACGACAUACUACCAGCCUGGACUGAGGUCCGCGCAUCUGCUAGGAUGCUGGCGUAAUGGCUGUAAGCGGCCCGUCUUGAAACACGGACCAAGGAGUCUAACAUCUAUGCGAGUGUUUGGGUGUCAAGCCCGAGCGCGUAAUGAAAGUGAACGGAGGUGGGAACCCGCAAGGGUGCACCAUCGACCGAUCCUGAUGUCUUCGGAAGGAUUUGAGUAAGAGCAUGGCUGUUGGGACCCGAAAGAUGGUGAACUAUGCUUGAAUAGGGUGAAGCCAGAGGAAACUCUGGUGGAGGCUCGCAGCGGUUCUGACGUGCAAAUCGAUCGUCAAAUUUGGGCAUAGGGGCGAAAGACUAAUCGAAC